Molecule: ribosomal RNA, 252 nt
Filed under: uncultured bacterium
Lineage: Bacteria
Description: partial 16S ribosomal RNA
Rfam family: Bacterial small subunit ribosomal RNA
Source: RNAcentral
UACGUAGGUGGCAAGCGUUAUCCGGAAUUAUUGGGCGUAAAGGGUGCGUAGGCGGUUUCUUAAGUCUUAUGUGAAAUCUCAGAGCUUAACUCUGGGCUGCAUAAGAAACUAUUAGACUAGAGUGCAGGAGAGGGCAACGGAAUUCCAUGUGUAGCGGUAAAAUGCGUAGAUAUAUGGAGGAACACCGGUGGCGAAGGCGGUUGCCUGGCCUGUUACUGACGCUGAAGCACGAAAGCGUGGGGAGCAAAUAGG